Oryza sativa Japonica Group (Japanese rice) is the source of this 5829-nucleotide non-coding RNA. NCBI's taxonomy places the organism in Eukaryota, Viridiplantae, Streptophyta, Magnoliopsida, Poales, Poaceae. The record is from RefSeq and is a predicted model, not a curated record.
CGGCGACGGCGGCGGCGGCGGCCAUAGUGGGGAAGCACGGCGGAGGCGCGGGGAGGCCGGAACCCUGCCGACGACGGCGAGCCCGUAGCCCUUGAGCCCGACGAACUUUGCUACCUGGGGCGCCGAUGCCGUACUCGCGGGAGUCGACAGCGAGGCCGAGCUCGACGUUGGCCUGGACGGUGUCGUGGCCGUCGUCCAGGAGGUUGUAGGCGCGAUGGCCGUCCGACCAGGGGAGCAAGGUGGCGGCGGCGACGACGCGGGAGCAGGGGAGCAAGGCGGCGGCGACGGGCGCGGCCUUGACCUCGCCACGGUGCGCAGCCUCAACGGCGUCCGCGUGGCCGACGAGAUCCUGCGGCUUGUCCCGGACGCCGCCGCGUUCCACACCACGCUGCGGUGCGUGAAGGAAUCGACAAGCUGCUCAGAGGAUUCGACGGCGCCGCGCCGUCGCAUCAUCCGUCGUCGUCUUGCAACCAGCAAGGAGCCGCGGCGGCAGCGGCAGUGGGAGCGGGAGGCCGUCUCCGCCGCGGCCGCCUCGACGCUGAGGAUCUCCGGGCGGCGCGGCCGACGGGGAAGGAGCGGCGGAGAGGAGAUUGACCGGCCGGCUCCCCACCCGGCGAACGCGAGCGCGAGCGCGAGCGUGAGGUUCGUGCUGGGCGGCGACGCGGCGGCGGAGACACGGGGCAGCAAGCUCGGCGGCGGCAGGCGAGUGCGGCUGCGGAUGGGGAGCGGCGGCGCCGACGACUCCGCGCCGCUCGGCCUCAUCGUCGUCGGCGGCUUCGAGCGCGGGCGGAGGUCUCCUCUGAUAGGCGAUGGCGGCCACGGUCACCGCGCCACUGUACGCGGCGGGGGCGUCGCACCGCCUGCUUCUCGUCGCUCGUCCGCCAUCACCGACCGCACGAGGGGGACGAGGAGGCCGGCGAGCUCGCGCUGCCCUGAGCCCGCGCGCCGCCACCAGGGAGCCGCCGUCGCCGGCCGCACCACCCUCCGGCCGCGCGCGCAGCCGCCUGUGCGAGAGCAGAGAGCGAGGGGAAGGCAGGAGAGAGAGAGAGGAGAAAAAGAGAGAGGGUGCUGACGUGGUCUCCAUGACCUGUGGGGCCCACGUGGGUCCCAUGCUGAGUCAGCCGCCACGUGGGACAAAACCGGGGUCAAAACCGCUGAGGGACCUUUUGUGACCGGUUUUGUAAGUUGGGGGACGCCGGAUGUCCGGUUUUGCAGUUCAGGGACGAUUUUGUAUCUCGCUGACAAGUUGAGGGACCUUGCGUGUACUUUUCCCUUUAAUUAGUGGAUAAGAGUUGAGGAAUGUAAAAAAGACUUAUUUUUCUGGGCGGCCCAUACAUUUGGGCCGGGACGGGAUUAUUGCUGCCUCCUUGAGGCCCGUACAGGAUUGGGCCCUGGUGAUUUGACAGGUGGGCUGGGCUACAACGAGCCUGCUCUGCAGGCCGCCUCGGCGUCUUCUCCGGGAAAACUCCGCCGCCGUCUCCUCUCCGGCGCGCGUACGGCGGCGAGUCGCCCUGGCUGACGGCGAUGGUGGGGGCAUCCGCGAUCGUCUCCGCCCCCCGCACGCCUCAUGCUCCGCCACCACGAGGUAUAUAUCGAGCGCGCAUUGCGAUUUUUCCUUUACCCUUCUGGGUUUUUGUUCUAGCUAGGCAGGGCGGUCGGCUAAUCACGCCGCCGAGAUCGCCGGAGUCCGGCGGCCGCCGCCUGCGUAGGCCCCCUUCUCCACCCAGCGUCUCAACUGGUCGACUCGGUGGCGACUCUCCACCCCCGCCUCCGCUUUCUCCUCCCCCGCUUUCAUCGAAGGGGACUCUUGCAAGCCCAAAAUCACCAACGUGAGCAACCAUUUCACUAUCUAGGAGAAUAUUGCUUGGCUUGAGAUCACAGUGAAUAAUUGGCAAUGGCCUAUGUUGGUGAAGAUAAUCAAGUGCAGAAACCACAUCAAUGGCAAUGUCGAGCCUUUUGAUGAUAUUUAAAACCUUGUCUUCCCCAUUUUCCUCAAGAUGCUGGUGUAGCCAUUGGUCCAAAUUUCCAUUUGGCAUGAACUCAUAUACAAGAGCCUUGAAGUCAUGGCCCUGAAUAUCAAUACUUGAGCAGACUGUUAGGAUCUUCACAAGAUUUCGAUGCCGAACACAUCUCAGAGCCUCACAUUCUGCAAUGAAGCUUUGAGAAGCCCCACGCUGUUGGAGAUUCAGCACUUUAACUGCAACAGUUACUUCUUGGUCUUGGAUCGUCAUUCGUCCUUUGUACACUGAUCCAAAGCUUCCUACUCCAAUGAGGUUAUCAGGAGCAAAAACAUUUGUUGCAUUGACUAAUUCAACAUAAGAUACUCUUAGAUGCGAAUCAUUGAUAAGUGCCAAGUCCGAUUUUGCUUGUGUCUUAUUCCUUUGCCAGAAUGCAAAUAGAGCUAAAAGCAAGAUAAGCAAUAGGAUUCCACUGCUUAUGGAAAUUGCUACGAUAAGCUUCAAAGACCGCUUUUUGGUGGAGUGAGUGGAGCAAAGAGGCAGCUUCAAAUCAGGUAUACCCCCACACAAGCCUUCAUUCCCUUCAAUUGCAGUUUCAUUUAUAUUGAGAAAUAUCCCAUCAUUAGGAACUGGCCCUUCAAAAUGGUUGAAUGAGAGGUUCAAACUAGCUAGGCCGUUCAUGCUUGCUAGAAAUUGAGGAAUGUCUCCAGAAAAGUUGUUGUGUGAAAGAUCAAGUACUUGAAGACCUUUCAGCCGACUCACUGAUGCUGGGAUUGGCCCUUGAAGGAAGUUCCCCUGUAUCUUAAAAUAUUGCAGGCUUUGACAAUCACCAAUAGAUGGAGGAAUUUCACCAGAAAUUUGGUUAUUAGAGAAAUCGAUGUCUGCAAUAUUUUUCAAGUUACUGAUUUCCAAUGGUAGUGACCCACUGAACAUGUUGCUUUGGAAGUACAUGAAAUCAGACAGGGUAGAUAUGAGAAAAACCUCCCUUGGAAUUGGACCGCUGAGCAUAUUGUGCUGAAUAUCAAUUUUUUCUAAAGUACAAUUUUUAAGAUCGGAUGGCAGAGGCCCACUAAGUGAAUUUUGUCCAAGAUAGAGUUUAUUCAACGAUGUGAGAUUACCAAGGGCAGGUGGAAUUUGGCCCAAUAGAUUAUUGAAUCCAAGGUCUAAAUGACUCAGCUUCCAGAGUGUACCAAGUGAGCUAGGAAUAUUACCCUCAAAAGAAUUGUUGCUCAUGAAAAGGUACAAUAAAUUAACAAGGUUUCCAAUUCCUUCAGGGAUCUUGCCACUUAUCAUGUUUUCGCUUAGGGCGAAAGCUUUCAAAUUUGUAGAAAGAUUUGCUACUGCAUUUGGUAGAGUCCCUCGAAAUUUGUUGCUGCUGAAAUCUAGAAACUCCAACUGACUACUAUUAGUUAAACUAGAAAGGAAUCCCCAACCAUAACUGUCAUUUGCCUGGAGUUGAUUGUUUUGAAUUGUCAGGACUGACAAACUAUUUAGGCCAUCAACGCAAGGAGGAACUACUCCUGAAAUCAUAUUCAUUUCUAUUGAAAAUGAGCUAAGCAUAGAAGAGUUGCACAUCCAAGUUGGAAUGGCACCCUCGAACUGAUUGUACCCUGCAUUAAAUAUUUGAAGCAAUGGGAAGUUGACUCUGUUGCCAGUUGGUAAUGAUCCUGUUAACUGGUUAUCCCGUACAUUGAAUAUUCUAAGAGAGGAGAGAUUGGAAAUGGAAGAAGGAAUGUACCCAGUGAGCUGAUUCCUAUCUAGGUACAAAUCUGUUAGAGAAUGAAGAUUUCCUAGGGAGGGAGGAAUGCUACCUGUAAGAUUGUUUUCAGCAAGAACAAGUCCAGAUAGCUUCUCAAGUUUUGCUAAUGAUUCAGGAAUUCCUCCAGUUAAUCUGUUCCCUCCCAAGCUUAGGUAAACUAGUGAAGAGAGGUUUCCUAGCCAAGAAGGGAUGCCACCAUGAAGGUUGUUUUCUUGCAAAAUUAGGGCAGUCAGAGAUGACAGUCCUUGCAAUGACACAAUCUCCCCCUGAAAUCUGUUAGUGCCAAGAUUAAGAAUGGUUAGUGAAGAUAGGUUCCCCAAGAACGUUGGAACUGGCCCUGAAAGUUGGUUCCCCCUCAGUUGCAAAUUCUUGAUCCUCUGAAGGUUACCAAGAGAAGAUGGAACUGAACCUGUCAAGUGAUUGUAGCUCAGGAUAAGACUUACUAGACUGGUGAGGUUUCCAAUCUCUGACGGAAUGCUUCCUGCAAGGCUGUUGUUGUAGAGGUUAAGGACCUCUAAGCUGCCCAGCUUACCUAUCAUGCGAGGCAUCGCUCCAUCAAGCAUGUUGUACUGCAACUGGACUGUGCGCAGCAUGGACAAAUCACCCAUGGCUGGAGGUAUCCCUCCUGAUAGGUGGUUGAAUGCCAGACUGAUGUUCUCAAGCUGUUGGCAUAGUGACAGUGAUGCCGGAAUGCCACCUUGCAGAGAAUUAUAGCUCAGGUUGACAUGCUGGAGGUCGAGAAGACGACCAAGCUCUGAAGGGAUGGUACCAGUUAGAUGAUUCACAGGGAGAUCAAGCUUUCUCAGGUAGGUGAGGUUGCCUAUGGAAGGAUCAAUGGUGCCAGAAAGAUCAAGGUUGCUGAGGUCCAGCGCCACCACACGGCCACGGCAGCGUCCCUGGAUGCCGCACGUCACACCUCGCCAUUGGCAGACAUGGAGCGAUUGGUUGCCACCCCACGAGGCCAUUGCUGACGACGGAUCACGGGUUAUUUGCGACUUGAAGGCCAUCAGUGCAAGGUGGUCGGUGGCAGGCUGAGCUCUGGUCGUGGGAGCUGGUGGAACAGCAGUUGCAAGGAGCAGCAGCGUGAGCAAGAAAGAGAACCCGGUCGCCACCAUUGCUAGAAAGAAGGAAGCGAGGUGUGUAUUUUCAAAAACAGAAGCUUAGGUGGUGAUUGCAGAGGCUACUCAGUCCAGCUUUACCAGUUCAUGGGAGGAAUGGUUGCUUCUGCUCUAUAGAGACAACACAUAUUCUCCUGCCUGAAUAUAAGCAUGGUGUGUUGGUCGUCAAGAUAAAUCAAUAGCUUGGAUCCCAAUCAAGUUGUCACUUUCUCAGGUAGUACCUGCACUUUGGUCAACACCCUUCAGUUGUAGUAAAUUGAUUACCAACAUUCUGUUCUGUUGCAACUUUAGUCAAUCAUCAGAUAGCCGGCCUCCUACCAGAAGUUUACAGGUUCCCUGGUCAAACUUUGCUGCCAGCUUGUUUGGGUUAAAGACAGAAGGAUGAAUUAGGCCGGCUGGCUGGCUGGCCGGCCUUGAUUUGUCCUUUAUGAAACAUUUCUACGCAUAAUUUACGGAACAAUAUUAAAGGUCUUCCGUUUGUUCCCAUAUAUCUGGUGUAGAAGAGCUGAGCUGUGCGUGUCAAUUAUUUGACGUUGAUGGCAAAUUGGCAAUAUGGUGCUAUGCUACUAUAGUGUACUUAUACAAUAAGGAAUAUAGCCAUCGGAGGGGAAGCAUUCUCAUUUGGACUGCACAUAUCAACUAAUUUGGACUGCAUAUGCUGCUCGCAGAUGGAGGUUCUUACGUCGCUAUCUUGUGCUGCUUAUUGCAACAGUUGUCAACAGUAUUAGCCAAGUCAGGCACUGCCAUGUUGACAUGUUUAUGAAUUGCUCAGUCAAGAAUUAUAUGUGCGAAGAGCGAAAAUGAGUAGCUAAUUGGAUGCCCUGCAAUACGAAUUGCUAUAGGCUCUUAUUUAGUAUACCUCUCAGCCAUUACAGAGUGUUGUGUAGGUGUGGCCAUAAGCUGACUGUAGCUGCUCGAGUACAAUAUUUUUGCUUGAUAAUGUAGUACAGCAUUUUGCCCUAGUUUAUUUCAAUUAACUUCCUCCUUUUCCUUA